RNAcentral lists this ribosomal RNA (253 nucleotides) under uncultured bacterium. RNAcentral describes it as "partial 16S ribosomal RNA". It matches the Rfam family "Bacterial small subunit ribosomal RNA", at positions 524 to 776 of the family's 1533-position model. The record is from RNAcentral.
UACGUAGGGUGCAAGCGUUAAUCGGAAUUACUGGGCGUAAAGCGUGCGCAGGCGGCUUUGCAAGACAGAUGUGAAAUCCCCGGGCUUAACCUGGGAACUGCCGUGGAUACUAUCAAUCUUGAAUAUCGUGGAGGUAAGCGGAAUAUGUCAUGUAGCGGUGAAAUGCUUAGAUAUGACAUAGAACACCAAUUGCGUAGGCAGCUUACUACACGAUCAUUGACGCUGAGGCACGAAAGCGUGGGGAGCAAACAGG